This 253-nucleotide ribosomal RNA is filed under the name uncultured bacterium. RNAcentral describes it as "partial 16S ribosomal RNA". It matches the Rfam family "Bacterial small subunit ribosomal RNA", at positions 524 to 776 of the family's 1533-position model. The record is from RNAcentral.
UACGUAGGGAGCAAGCGUUGUUCGGAAUUACUGGGCGUAAAGAGUGUGUAGGCGGUUUUGCAAGUUUGGUGUGAAAUCUCCCGGCUUAACUGGGAGGGUGCGCCGGAAACUGCAAGGCUAGAGUAUUGGAGAGGAUAGCGGAAUUCCUGGUGUAGCGGUGAAAUGCGUAGAUAUCAGGAGGAACACCGGUGGUGUAGACGGCUAUCUGGACAAUUACUGACGCUGAGACACGAAAGCGUGGGGAGCAAACAGG